Molecule: ribosomal RNA, 453 nt
Filed under: uncultured bacterium
Lineage: Bacteria
Description: bacterial SSU rRNA
Rfam family: Bacterial small subunit ribosomal RNA
Source: RNAcentral
UACGGGAGGCAGCAGUGGGGAAUAUUGCACAAUGGGCGCAAGCCUGAUGCAGCCAUGCCGCGUGUAUGAAGAAGGCCUUCGGGUUGUAAAGUACUUUCAGCGGGGAGGAAGGCGAUGCGGUUAAUAACCGCGUCGAUUGACGUUACCCGCAGAAGAAGCACCGGCUAACUCCGUGCCAGCAGCCGCGGUAAUACGGAGGGUGCAAGCGUUAAUCGGAAUUACUGGGCGUAAAGCGCACGCAGGCGGUCUGUUAAGUCAGAUGUGAAAUCCCCGGGCUUAACCUGGGAACUGCAUUUGAAACUGGCAGGCUUGAGUCUUGUAGAGGGGGUAGAAUUCCAGGUGUAGCGGUGAAAUGCGUAGAGAUCUGGAGGAAUCCGGUGGCGAAGGCGGCCCCUGGGACAAAGCUGACGCUCAGGGUGCGAAAGCGUGGGGAGCGAAACGAGGAUUAGGAUA